RNAcentral lists this ribosomal RNA (226 nucleotides) under uncultured bacterium. Its description in RNAcentral is "partial 16S ribosomal RNA". It matches the Rfam family "Bacterial small subunit ribosomal RNA", at positions 538 to 762 of the family's 1533-position model. The record is from RNAcentral.
ACGUUAUUCGGAAUCACUGGGCUUAAAGCGCGUGUAGGUGGGGCGGCACGUCGGUCGCUGAAAUCCCCCGGCUUAACCGGGGAAGGGGCGCCGAUACGACCGCCCUGGAGGGACGUAGGGGGAGCUGGAACUUCCGGUGGAGCGGUGAAAUGCGUUGAGAUCGGAAGGAACGCCCGUGGCGAAAGCGAGCUCCUGGACGUUUUCUGACACUGAGACGCGAAAGCCA